This 373-nucleotide ribosomal RNA is filed under the name uncultured organism. RNAcentral's name for it is "partial 16S ribosomal RNA". It matches the Rfam family "Bacterial small subunit ribosomal RNA", at positions 527 to 896 of the family's 1533-position model. The record is from RNAcentral.
GUAGGUGGCAAGCGUUAUCCGGAAUUAUUGGGCGUAAAGCGCGCGCAGGCGGUUCUUUAAGUCUGAUGUGAAAGCCCACGGGCUCAACCGUGGAGGGUCAUUGGAAACUGGAGAACUUGAGUACAGAAGAGGAAAGCGGAAUUCCACGUGUAGCGGUGAAAUGCGUAGAGAUGUGGAGGAACACCAGUGGCGAAGGCGGCUUUCUGGUCUGUAACUGACGCUGAGGCGCGAAAGCGUGGGGAGCAAACAGGAUUAGAUACCCUGGUAGUCCACGCCGUAAACGAUGAGUGCUAAGUGUUAGGGGGGUUUCCGCCCCUUAGUGCUGCAGCUAACGCAUUAAGCACUCCGCCUGGGGAGUACGGCCGCAAGGCUG